AAUCAACGCUGGCGGCGUGCCUAACACAUGCAAGUCGAACGCGAAAGCCCCGCAAGGGGCAAGGUAGAGUGGCAAACGGGUGAGUAACACGUGGGUGACCUGCCUUCGAGUGGGGGAUAACGUCCCGGAAAGGGACGCUAAUAACCGCAUAAUAUCCUGCCUUUUAAGAGGUGGACAUCAAAGCUGGGGAUCGCAAGACCUGGCGCUUGAAGAGGGGCCCGCGCCCGAUUAGCUAGUUGGUGGGGAAUGGCUCACCAAGGCUACGAUCGGUAGCCGGCCUGAGAGGGCGGACGGCCACACUGGGACUGAGACACGGGCCCGACUCCUACGGGAGGCAGCAGUGA
Molecule: ribosomal RNA, 344 nt
Filed under: uncultured bacterium
Lineage: Bacteria
Description: bacterial SSU rRNA
Rfam family: Bacterial small subunit ribosomal RNA
Source: RNAcentral